AAUGAACGCUGGCGGCGUGCCUAAUACAUGCAAGUCGAGCGAACAGACGAGGAGCUUGCUCCUCUGACGUUAGCGGCGGACGGGUGAGUAACACGUGGAUAACCUACCUAUAAGACUGGGAUAACUUCGGGAAACCGGAGCUAAUACCGGAUAACAUGUUGAACCGCAUGGUUCAACAGUGAAAGACGGUCUUGCUGUCACUUAUAGAUGGAUCCGCGCCGCAUUAGCUAGUUGGUAAGGUAACGGCUUACCAAGGCAACGAUGCGUAGCCGACCUGAGAGGGUGAUCGGCCACACUGGAACUGAGACACGGUCCAGACUCCUACGGGAGGCAGCAGUAGGGAAUCUUCCGCAAUGGGCGAAAGCCUGACGGAGCAACGCCGCGUGAGUGAAGAAGGUCUUCGGAUCGUAAAACUCUGUUAUUAGGGAAGAACAAAUGUGUAAGUAACUAUGCACGUCUUGACGGUACCUAAUCAGAAAGCCACGGCUAACUACGUG
RNAcentral lists this ribosomal RNA (497 nucleotides) under uncultured bacterium. Its description in RNAcentral is "partial 16S ribosomal RNA". It matches the Rfam family "Bacterial small subunit ribosomal RNA", at positions 29 to 507 of the family's 1533-position model. The record is from RNAcentral.